Molecule: transfer RNA, 72 nt
Filed under: Stegodyphus mimosarum
Lineage: Eukaryota; Metazoa; Arthropoda; Arachnida; Araneae; Eresidae
Rfam family: tRNA
About the family: Transfer RNA (tRNA) molecules are approximately 80 nucleotides in length.
Source: Rfam by way of RNAcentral
GCGUCGGUGGUAUAACGGUUAGCAUAGCUGCCUUCCCAGCAGUUGACCCGGGUUCGACUCCCGGCCGACGCA